Molecule: non-coding RNA, 834 nt
Organism: Cinara cedri
Lineage: Eukaryota; Metazoa; Arthropoda; Insecta; Hemiptera; Aphididae
Source: the annotation of a GenBank genome assembly
UGGGAGGGUAGAUGCGCCGACGACGGAAGACGGGUUUUUGUAAAAAAAAAAAAAAAAAAAAACGGGGGAAAAAAAACCCGUACGAAUCUAUCGGUCGGACAGACGGUUUGCGCGAUCGCGCGUACCGAGAGUACGUUAAAACAUUGUUUUUAUUAAAUCGAUAGGAUCAACGUCGGCGGUAUCGCGUCAUUUAUCGCGCGCGUUUCGCGUGUUUAUUGUGUACAGCGUGCGGGUAGAGCGCGUCAUGCGUUACGAUGUUGCGGCUAUCAGAAAUUGUGAUAACCACGCGUACAGGGUGUCCCGGUGUGCGGAUUGAGUGAAACACACCAAUGAAACGUGAUAAAUCGUACCGCGCGCACAGGCGAAUAUUAUUUUUUUCAAAAUUAAACGCGUUCGGGAUCGUGAAGUUUUUCGUUUACAACAGCCGUCCGGGCCCGAAACAGCGGCCGUUUUCGAUUCGACCCGGCCCGGUCGUCUUUUCGACGUUUCCCGGGCGAACGUCCGGGAGUUUAUCGGCGCGCCUAUCGCCCGGCGACCUACACACACACACACACACAUUCUAUGUUCGACGACCGUCCGGUAAAAUCGGUAAAAUUAAGCGACCGAGUAAAACAAACGGAUUUUUCGCCAACAGUUUUCCGAUAAAGCCGCCAAUUUUUUUAGAGUCCCGUAACACAUUCCGAGUUACGGAAUUUCAGUUUCGACCGUGCGAAACGGUUUUUCAAUGUUUUCUCGUGGCGCGCGACCGCCGCUGCGGCUCUGCCUGGCCGUGUACGAAUAUCGUUAUCGCCACAAUGGCAUUACCGAUCGCCGACGUACGCAGACGUAUUCUAU